Molecule: ribosomal RNA, 301 nt
Filed under: uncultured bacterium
Lineage: Bacteria
Description: partial 16S ribosomal RNA
Rfam family: Bacterial small subunit ribosomal RNA
Source: RNAcentral
CAGCAGCCGCGGUAAUACGUAGGUGGCAAACGUUGUCCGGAAUUAUUGGGCGUAAAGGGCUCGCAGGCGGUUUCUUAAGUCUGAUGUGAAAGCCCCCGGCUCAACCGGGGAGGGUCAUUGGAAACUGGGAAACUUGAGUGCAGAAGAGGAGAGUGGAAUUCCACGUGUAGCGGUGAAAUGCGUAGAGAUGUGGAGGAACACCAGUGGCGAAGGCGACUCUCUGGUCUGUAACUUACGCUGAGGAGCGAAAGCGUGGGGAGCGAACAGGAUUAGAUACCCGCGUAGUCCCUGUCUCUUAUAC